UCCGUAGGCGGUGUGGCAAGUCGGUAGUGAAAUCUCUCGGCUUAACUGAGAGGCUGCUGCCGAAACUGCCAUGCUCGAGUGCGAGAGAGGCGAGUGGAAUUGCGGGUGUAGCGGUGAAAUGCGUAGAUAUCCGCAGGAACAUCCGAGGCGAAAGCGGCUCGCUGGAUCGCAACUGACGCUGAGGGACGAAAGCUAGGGGAGCAAACAGGAUUAGAUAACCCUGGUAGUCCUAGCCCUAAACCAUCAGGACUUGGGGUUUGCCCUGUACGGGGCAAGUCCCGGAGCUAACGCGUUAAGUCCUGCGCCUGGGGAGUACGGUCGCAAGGCUGAAA
Molecule: ribosomal RNA, 332 nt
Filed under: uncultured bacterium
Lineage: Bacteria
Description: bacterial SSU rRNA
Rfam family: Bacterial small subunit ribosomal RNA
Source: RNAcentral